GGGCCCGCACAAGCGGUGGAGUAUGUGGUUUAAUUCGAUGCAACGCGAAGAACCUUACCAGGGUUUGACAUCCUGCGAAUCUCUUGGAAACGAGAGAGUGCCUUCGGGAACGCAGUGACAGGUGGUGCAUGGCUGUCGUCAGCUCGUGUCGUGAGAUGUUGGGUUAAGUCCCGCAACGAGCGCAACCCACGUCUUUAGUUGCCAGCAUUUAGUUGGGCACUCUAGAGAGACUGCCGGUGAUAAACCGGAGGAAGGUGUGGAUGACGUCAAGUCAUCAUGCCCCUUACAUCCUGGGCUACACACGUACUACAAUGCUACGGACAAAGGGCAGCAAACUCGCGAGAGCUAG
RNAcentral lists this ribosomal RNA (349 nucleotides) under uncultured bacterium. RNAcentral describes it as "bacterial SSU rRNA". It matches the Rfam family "Bacterial small subunit ribosomal RNA", at positions 917 to 1267 of the family's 1533-position model. The record is from RNAcentral.